UAGGGAAUAUUGGACAAUGGGCGAAAGCCUGAUCCAGCGACGCCGCGUGAGGGAUGAAGGCCUUCGGGUUGUAAACCUCUGUUGUUGGGAAAGAAGCCGGGUGCAUAACCCGGUGACGGUACCCAACGAGGAAGCCCCGGCUAACUACGUGCCAGCAGCCGCGGUGAGACGUAGGGGGCGAGCGUUAUCCGGAUUCACUGGGCGUAAAGGGCGCGUAGGCGGUUACGUAAGUCCGAUGUGAAAAGUCACGGCUCAACUGUGAUCGUGCAUCGGAUACUUCGUUGACUUGAGGUCGGUAGAGGCAAGUGGAACUAGCGGUGUAGCGGUGAAAUGCGCAGAUAUCGCUAGGAACGCCGGUGGCGAAGGCGACUUGCUGGGCCGUACCUGACGCUGAUGCGCGAAAGCUAGGGGAGCGAACCGGAUUAGAUACCCCCGUAGUCC
Molecule: ribosomal RNA, 441 nt
Filed under: uncultured bacterium
Lineage: Bacteria
Description: bacterial SSU rRNA
Rfam family: Bacterial small subunit ribosomal RNA
Source: RNAcentral